This 903-nucleotide ribosomal RNA is filed under the name Neocalonectria tristaniopsidis. RNAcentral's name for it is "partial large subunit ribosomal RNA". It matches the Rfam family "Eukaryotic large subunit ribosomal RNA", at positions 32 to 967 of the family's 3401-position model. Lineage: Eukaryota; Fungi; Ascomycota; Sordariomycetes; Hypocreales; Nectriaceae. The record is from RNAcentral.
ACUUAAGCAUAUCAAUAAGCGGAGGAAAAGAAACCAACAGGGAUUGCCCUAGUAACGGCGAGUGAAGCGGCAACAGCUCAAAUUUGAAAUCUGGCCCUCGGGUCCGAGUUGUAAUUUGUAGAGGAUGCUUUUGGUGCGGUACCUUCCGAGUUCCCUGGAACGGGACGCCAUAGAGGGUGAGAGCCCCGUCUGGUUGGAUGCCAAACCUCUGUAAAGCUCCUUCGACGAGUCGAGUAGUUUGGGAAUGCUGCUCUAAAUGGGAGGUAUAUGUCUUCUAAAGCUAAAUAUUGGCCAGAGACCGAUAGCGCACAAGUAGAGUGAUCGAAAGAUGAAAAGCACUUUGAAAAGAGAGUUAAAAAGUACGUGAAAUUGUUGAAAGGGAAGCGCUUAUGACCAGACUUGGACUUGGUUGAUCAUCCUGGGUUCUCCCUGGUGCACUCUUCCAGUUCAGGCCAGCAUCAGUUCGCUGCGGGGGAUAAAAGCUUUGGGAAUGUGGCUCCUCCGGGAGUGUUAUAGCCCAUUGCACAAUACCCUGCUCCGGACUGAGGUUCGCGCAUCUGCAUGGAUGCUGGCGUAAUGGUCAUCAGCGACCCGUCUUGAAACACGGACCAAGGAGUCGUCUUCGUAUGCGAGUGUUCGGGUGUUAAACCCCUACGCGUAAUGAAAGUGAACGCAGGUGAGAGCUUCGGCGCAUCAUCGACCGAUCCUGAUGUUCUCGGAUGGAUUUGAGUAAGAGCAUACGGGGCCGGACCCGAAAGAAGGUGAACUAUGCCUGUAUAGGGUGAAGCCAGAGGAAACUCUGGUGGAGGCUCGCAGCGGUUCUGACGUGCAAAUCGAUCGUCAAAUAUGGGCAUGGGGGCGAAAGACUAAUCGAACCUUCUAGUAGCUGGUUUCCGCCGAAGU